RNAcentral lists this ribosomal RNA (951 nucleotides) under uncultured bacterium. RNAcentral's name for it is "bacterial SSU rRNA". It matches the Rfam family "Bacterial small subunit ribosomal RNA", at positions 85 to 1041 of the family's 1533-position model. The record is from RNAcentral.
UCGCUGACGAGUGGCGCACGGGUGCGUAACGCGUAUACAAUCUACCUCUUACAGGGGGAUAGCCUUUGGAAACGAAGAUUAAUACCCCAUAGUAUUUACAAUCCGCAUGUUUUGUAAAUUAAAGUUUCGGCGGUAGGAGAUGAGUAUGCGUUCUAUUAGCUAGUAGGUGUGGUAACGGCACACCUAGGCAACGAUAGAUAGGGGCCCUGAGAGGGGGAUCCCCCACACUGGUACUGAGACACGGACCAGACUCCUACGGGAGGCAGCAGUGAGGAAUAUUGGACAAUGGGCGGAAGCCUGAUCCAGCCAUGCCGCGUGCAGGAAGACUGCCCUAUGGGUUGUAAACUGCUUUUGUACGGGAAGAAACCCACCUACGUGUAGGUGGCUGACGGUACCGUAAGAAUAAGCAUCGGCUAACUCCGUGCCAGCAGCCGCGGUAAUACGGAGGAUGCAAGCGUUAUCCGGAAUCAUUGGGUUUAAAGGGUCCGUAGGUGGAUCGGUCAGUCAGAGGUGAAAUCCUGCAGCUCAACUGUAGAACUGCCUUUGAUACUGCCGGUCUUGAAUUAUUGUGAAGUGGUUAGAAUAUGUAGUGUAGCGGUGAAAUGCAUAGAUAUUACAUAGAAUACCGAUUGCGAAGGCAGAUCACUAACAAUAUAUUGACACUGAUGGACGAAAGCGUGGGGAGCGAACGGGAUUAGAUACCCCGGUAGUCCACGCCGUAAACGAUGGUCACUAGCUGUUCGGACUUCGGUCUGAGUGGCUAAGCGAAAGUGAUAAGUGACCCACCUGGGGAGUACGUUCGCAAGAAUGAAACUCAAAGGAAUUGACGGGGGCCCGCACAAGCGGUGGAGCAUGUGGUUUAAUUCGAUGAUACGCGAGGAACCUUACCAGGGCUUAAAUGUAGAUUGCAUUAGCUGGAGACAGCUAUUUCUUCGGACUAUCUACAAGUGC